RNAcentral lists this ribosomal RNA (460 nucleotides) under uncultured bacterium. Its description in RNAcentral is "bacterial LSU rRNA". It matches the Rfam family "Bacterial large subunit ribosomal RNA", at positions 453 to 921 of the family's 2925-position model. The record is from RNAcentral.
CCACCCUCCAAGCCUAAGUACUCCUUACCGACCGAUAGCGAACCAGUACCGUGAGGGAAAGGUGAAAAGCACCCCGACAAGGGGAGUGAAAUAGACCUGAAACCGAAUGCCUACAAACAGUCGGAGCCCGCAAGGGUGACGGCGUACCUUUUGUAUAAUGGGUCUGCGACUUAGUCUGACGAGCAAGCUUAAGGCGAUAGCUGUAGGCGAAGCGAAAGCGAGUCUGAACAGGGCGUUCAGUUCGUCGGACUAGACCCGAAACCAGUCGAUCUAUCCAUGGCCAGGUUGAAAGUAGGGUAACACCUACUGGAGGACCGAACCGGUGCCUGUUGAAAAGUCUCGGAUGAGCUGUGGAUAGGGGUGAAAGGCCAAUCAAGGCUGGAAAUAGCUGGUUCUCCGCGAAAUCUAUUUAGGUAGAGCCUCGAGUGAAUACCCCAGGGGUAGAGCACUGGAUGGGCUA